RNAcentral lists this ribosomal RNA (253 nucleotides) under uncultured bacterium. Its description in RNAcentral is "partial 16S ribosomal RNA". It matches the Rfam family "Bacterial small subunit ribosomal RNA", at positions 524 to 776 of the family's 1533-position model. The record is from RNAcentral.
GACGAACCGUGCGAACGUUGUUCGGAAUUACUGGGCGUAAAGCGAGUGUAGGCGGUGUGGUAAGUCGGAUGUGAAAGCCCCGGGCUCAACCCGGGAAGUGCACUCGAUACUGCCACGCUAGAGUAUCGGAGAGGUUGGUGGAAUUCUCGGUGUAGAGGUGAAAUUCGUAGAUAUCGAGAGGAACACCGGUGGCGAAGGCGGCUCACUGGCCCGAUACUGACGCUGAGGCACGAAAGCGUGGGGAGCAAACAGG